Small nucleolar RNA from Ornithorhynchus anatinus (platypus), 138 nucleotides. NCBI's taxonomy places the organism in Eukaryota, Metazoa, Chordata, Mammalia, Monotremata, Ornithorhynchidae. The record is from RefSeq and is a predicted model, not a curated record.
UGCCUCUCAAAGUCGCAGCUGGAGAGUUUUCAGUACUCUACCAGUCUCAGCAAUGGGAGGGAGAUUCGAACAGAGUCAUACCCAUUCCAUUCCUAGCUUGGGCAGUGGCUAGCGAGUGGAAAGCAAUCUGCUACGUGU